GCACUGCUGUGGAGUCCCACAAUAGGACAAAACGGCCGUCCAGUGC
Schistosoma mattheei is the source of this 46-nucleotide non-coding RNA. NCBI's taxonomy places the organism in Eukaryota, Metazoa, Platyhelminthes, Trematoda, Strigeidida, Schistosomatidae. The record is from Rfam.